ACAGAGAACAGUGGAUAAGAUUCUACUAAGUUCCCUAGCACCCAUCAGUCAUCCUGUGCUGAGCUGUCCCCGUGUGAGAAUCCUGGUUCUGCAUUGGAAAGACUGCUGGCUCCAUGCUGGUCUUCUUCCUGCUCCUCUGUGUUCCUGAGGAAGAAAGACUAUCAUGUAAAUGCACCUAUGAACAUAUGCAUGUGUGCAUGUGUGUACAUGUGUGUGUUCAUGUGUGUAUGUGCAUGUGUGUGAAUGUAUACAUGUGUGGUCAUACAGAUGAGUGUGUGCAUAUGUGUACAUGUAUAUGCAUGUGCAUGUAUGUGCAUUCAUGUGUGCAAGCACACGUGUGCCAGUGCUUAAUUCUUGGUGACCCUACCCAUAUGGAUAUGUUCAUGCAUGGGUUCAAUUAUUUUUUAAUGUUAGUUCUGGGGUUCAGACUCAAGUCCUCAUCCUUAAAAGUAGAUCAAUGUGGGGCUGGGGAUUUAGCUCAGUGGUAGAGCGCUUACCUAGGAAGCGCAAGGCCCUGGGUUCGGUCCCCAGCUCCGAAAAAAAGAACCAAAAAAAAAAAAAGUAGAUCAAUGUACGAAUCUCACAAAGAAUUGACACAAUUCAGAAAAGUGUCCCUUAGUGCAAAUGGUGCAGGUCUCAUCUCUUUCCCAGGUGUUUGCAGAAUAAACACCUCCUUAUCUCUC
This 683-nucleotide long non-coding RNA is filed under the name Rattus norvegicus (Norway rat). RNAcentral's name for it is "long non-coding RNA NONRATT006499". Lineage: Eukaryota; Metazoa; Chordata; Mammalia; Rodentia; Muridae. The record is from RNAcentral.